UGCACCCAUCCUUUUGUGAUUGAGGUCUCCAGGACUGGACUCCGUACUCCAGGUCUCACCAUCUGUCUUCUGACUGUUUAUACCGCCAGCUUUACAGCCAAACUUUCCCCGUCCACAUUGUGUUUUAUCUCAGGACCCAUUGAUCCUUCUCUUCGGAAGUCUUGUGAUCCUCAGAUCGAGGUUCCUUCUCCCCAAGCGCACUGACCUGCAGUUUCCACUGUUUGGACCCUUUGUCCAGAGACAUUAUCAUUUCCUGUUUUCCCUCCAGGAACAUCAGCCCUAUUCCACAAACCUUCUGUGGUGUCUCCUACAUGACAGGCCCUUGCAGUCAUCACUUGUAACUUCUUAAUCCUCAGAAUCCACAUCAUAAACAUCAAGCCGCCGGUGUCUAUCAGCCGAUUGUGAAUCCACUGAAGAGUCAGGGGUCCACUGGACUAUCCCAUGAUUACGUCCAGUCAUCCAUCAGCUCGUUGUAGGACACUACAUUGAAGGCAGUCAUUUUCUUUUUGGAUGGUUUCGAUAAUUUUUGCUACUCCCGAUGUUAAGCACACCGGUCUGUAGUCUCCAGCUUCUUCUUGUGGAUGGGUACAUCGUUGGCCAUUCUUCUAGAACAUCAACCAUUAGGAAGGACUUGUUAAACAAACCAGUAAGAGAUCUCUGGGAGGAGGAACACCAUCAGGACCCAUUACCUUGUGUGAAGACUACCCCCGGGGUUUAGCGUACCUGACCGCAGUUAUGUCUUUUUUAUCCUCACGUGUCCAGAUGCUGUGCUCUAACAAACCAGCAGUAAAAUGUAUUGAAAGGACUCCUGAGGUCAGACACAGAAGAGGAGUCCUCUCAGUGCUUUUUAUUGCUGGUUUGUGGGGUGACCCCUUUAUGUAAUGUACGCAGAUAUCCCCUGACCCAACAGCACCGGGCAGUCACAUCCAGCCCUCCUGGGGGAGGACCAUGGCACAGUGGUGCCAAUGACACAAGUCACACCAAGAGUUGUCAGGUCUCGGUUUAUGGGCCCUGCCCCCGCACAGGCCAUAGACUACAAGGAGAAGACCAGGGGGUGGUGGAACCUAUGACAAAUCACACCCAGCACUGCAGGGUUGUCAGGUCUCGGUUUAUGGGCCCUGCCCCCGCACAGGCCAUAGACUACAAGGAGAAGACCAGGGAGUGGUGGAACCUAUGACAAAUCACACCCAGCACUGCAGGGUUGUCAGGUCUCGGUUUAUGUGCCCUGCCCCCGCACAGGCCAUAGACUACAAGGAGAAGACCAGGGGGUGGUGGAACCUAUGACAAAUCACACCCAGCACUGCAGGGUUGUCAGGUCUCAGUUUAUGUGCCCUGCCCCCGCACAGGCCAUAGACUACAAGGAGAAGACCAGGGGGUGGUGGAACCUAUGACAAAUCACACCCAGCACUGCAGGGUUGUCAGGUCUCGGUUUAUGGGCCCUGCCCCCGCACAGGCCAUAGACUACAAGGAGAAGACCAGGGGGUGGUGGAACCUAUGACAAAUCACACCCAGCACUGCAGGGUUGUCAGGUCUCGGUUUAUGUGCCCUGCCCCCGCACAGGCAAUAGACUACAAGGAGAAGACCAGGGGGUGGUGGAACCUAUGACAAAUCACACCCAGCACUGCAGGGUUGUCAGGUCUCGGUUUAUGUGCCCUGCCCCCGCACAGGCCAUAGACUACAAGGAGAAGACCAGGGGGUGGUGGAACCUAUGACAAAUCACACCCAGAGCUGCAGGGUUGUCAGGUCUCGGUUUAUGUGCCCUGCCCCCGCACAGGCCAUAGACUACAAGGAGAAGACCAGGGGGUGGUGGAACCUAUGACAAAUCACACCCAGAGCUGCAGGGUUGUCAGGUCUCGGUUUAUGUGCCCUGCCCCCGCACAGGCUAUAGACUUAAAUAAAACUCUCAUAAAUAGUAAAAACACCAGAAGGUAAGAAUUAAGCGAAUAUAUAAAAGAGAAGGUGCAGCAGCGCAGGGGGUCUCCACCCUCCACAGCACGGAUUGAGCUGUGAGACCCCCUGCAAUGUGGAGGUACCACCUCAUGGGGGCAGCACUGAGGAUAAGGCUAAAUAAAUACAUUGUCAUUGGGGGCUGUAGAGGGCGAUGCACCGUUCUGACCCGCUGCUGCACUUCUCAUUACAUGUAAAGUCAAUGCCCGGGCACAGGUCAGUUGGCACAGGAGGGGGGUGGGGUCCUUUCUUCUGGCACAGGUAACGUAGGCAGCAAACGCUUUUCAGUUUUUGGUCCAAGUUUACUCAACGCAGCAUGAAGAACAGCACAAAGUCCGUAAACCGUCAGUCUGCUCCAAAAAUACCAUCUAGGAAGUCGGGGAGACUGCACAUAAGGCGGUGUGAGGGGGGGCCCCCCACUUGUAACAUUCAUCGGGGGCUCCAGGCCCCCCAAUGUCCAAUAAUACAGUGUCCUGGACGCUCACGCAAGAGAGGUGGCAGCAAGUCCCAUCA
This is a long non-coding RNA of Bufo gargarizans (Asiatic toad), 2460 nucleotides long. RefSeq lists it as uncharacterized. NCBI's taxonomy places the organism in Eukaryota, Metazoa, Chordata, Amphibia, Anura, Bufonidae. The record is from RefSeq and is a predicted model, not a curated record. The transcript has 2 exons.